UACGAAGGGGGCUAGCGUUACUCGGAAUUACUGGGCGUAAAGGGCGCGUAGGCGGCGUUUCAAGUUGGACGUGAAAUUCCUGGGCUCAACCUGGGGACUGCGUUCAAGACUGUGAUGCUAGAGGAUGGAAGAGGGUCGUGGAAUUCCCAGUGUAGAGGUGAAAUUCGUAGAUAUUGGGAAGAACACCGGUGGCGAAGGCGGCGACCUGGUCCAUUACUGACGCUGAGGCGCGACAGCGUGGGGAGCAAACAGG
This 253-nucleotide ribosomal RNA is filed under the name uncultured bacterium. RNAcentral's name for it is "partial 16S ribosomal RNA". It matches the Rfam family "Bacterial small subunit ribosomal RNA", at positions 524 to 776 of the family's 1533-position model. The record is from RNAcentral.